Symphalangus syndactylus (siamang) is the source of this 850-nucleotide long non-coding RNA. RefSeq lists it as uncharacterized. Lineage: Eukaryota; Metazoa; Chordata; Mammalia; Primates; Hylobatidae. The record is from RefSeq and is a predicted model, not a curated record.
UUGUGAUUGUAUUUCUGGGAACAUAUCUUGGCAGGAGUUUCACCCUUGCCACCCAGGCUGGAGUGCAAUGGCACCAUCUCGACUCACUGCAACCUCCGCCUCCCAGGUUCAAGUGAUUCUCCUGCCUCAGCCUCCCGAAGUAGCUGGGAUUACAGGCGCCCACCACCAUUUUCUUAUUAAGAUCUUUUACUUCUAUUUAGGAAGAAAUAGUAUAAGUUUAUGGAUAUAUUUCUACCAAUUUUUAAAUAAUAACCAACUACAGUGACUUCUAUAACAGUUGUGACUUCUGUCAGGGAUCUAAUAUCAAGUAUGUGCCAUCAGAUAUUAUUAUUAUUUGGAUCUUUAUGCAUCUGGCAGUUUUCUGACUUUUCACUACAACCAUGCUUACCAUGAUUAAGUGAUGAAUAAUGAUCUAAUUAAUCAUAGUGUCAUGUUUUACACUUCUUUACCUUUUAUAAGCACUUUUUAAACUUACUGUGGUAAAAUAUACAUAGGAUAAAAUUUAUCUUUUUAACUAUUUUCAAUUGUACAAUUCCAUGGCAUUCACAUAGGCAUAUUGUUAUGCAACCAUUACCACCAUCCAUAUCCAGAACUUUUUCACUUUUCCAGACUGAAACUCUGUACCCAUUAGACAUUAACUCCUUAUUCCCUCGUCUCUCAUCCCCUGAAAACACCAUACUACUUUCUCUUUCUGUCAGUUUGACUACUCUAGGUAUCUCAUAUAAAUGGAAUCAUACAAUAUUUGUCCUUUUGUGUCUGGCUCAUUUAACAUAGUGUCUUCAGCCUUCAUCUAUGUUGUAGCAUAUAUCAGAAUUUCAUUCUUUUUUUAAAUAAAAAAGGAUUUAGAUCA